This 497-nucleotide ribosomal RNA is filed under the name uncultured bacterium. RNAcentral describes it as "partial 16S ribosomal RNA". It matches the Rfam family "Bacterial small subunit ribosomal RNA", at positions 29 to 507 of the family's 1533-position model. The record is from RNAcentral.
AAUGAACGCUGGCGGCGGGCCUAACACAUGCAAGUCGAGCGGACAGACGAGGAGCUUUCUCCUCUGCCGUUAGCGGCGGACGGGUGAGUAACACGUGGAUAACCUACCUAUAAGACUGGGGUAACUACGUGAAACCGCAUCCAAUAACGGAGCAUAUGUUGAACGGCAUGGAUCAGUAGUGCUACACGGUUUUCCUGAUACUUAGAGAUGGAUCCGCGCCGCAUUAGCUAGUUGGUAAGGUAACGGCUUACCAAGGCGACGAUGCGUAGCCGAUCUGAGAGGAUGAUCAGCCACACUGGAACUGAGACACGGUCCAGACUCCUACGGGAGGCAGCAGUAGGGAAUAUUGCACAAUGGGCGAAAGCCUGACCCAGCCAUGCCGCGUGGGUGAAGAAGGUCUUCGGAUCGUAAAGCUCUUUUAUUGGGGAAGAACAGAAGUAUGAUAAUACAUGGCUGUUUUGACGGUACCUAAAGAAUAAGCACCGGCUAACUUCGUG